RNAcentral lists this ribosomal RNA (154 nucleotides) under Bordetella sp. MC271. Its description in RNAcentral is "partial 16S ribosomal RNA". It matches the Rfam family "Bacterial small subunit ribosomal RNA", at positions 337 to 487 of the family's 1533-position model. The record is from RNAcentral. Lineage: Bacteria; Pseudomonadati; Pseudomonadota; Betaproteobacteria; Burkholderiales; Alcaligenaceae.
UCCUACGGGAGGCAGCAGUGGGGAAUUUUGGACAAUGGGGGCAAGCCUGAUCCAGCCAUCCCGCGUGCAGGAUGAAGGCCUUCGGGUUGUAAAGCACUUUUAACAGGAAAGAAGAGUCUUCUGGUUAAUACUGGGGUAAUGACGUACCGCAGAU